CCUACGGGAGGCAGCAGUGGGGAAUAUUGCACAAUGGGGGGAACCCUGAUGCAGCGACGCCGCGUGAGUGAUGAAGUAUUUCGGAUUGUAAAGCCCUAUCAGUAGGGAAGAUAAUGACGGUAUCUGACUAAGAAGCCCCGGCUAACUACGUGCCAGCAGCCGCGGUAAUACGUAGGGGGCAAGCGUUACCCGGAUUUACUGGGUGUAAAGGGCGCGUAGACGGGUAUGCAAGUCAGAUGUGAAAGCCUAAGGCUUAACCAUAGGACUGCUUUUGAAACUGUAAAACUGGAGUGCAGGAGAGGUAAGUGGAAUUCUUGGUGUAGCGGUAAAAUGCGUAGAUAUUAGGAGGAAUACCAGUGGCGAAGGCGGCUUACUGGACUGUAACUGACGUUGAGGCGCGAAGGCGUGGGGAGCAAACAGGAUUAGAUACCCGGGUAGUC
This 440-nucleotide ribosomal RNA is filed under the name uncultured bacterium. RNAcentral describes it as "partial 16S ribosomal RNA". It matches the Rfam family "Bacterial small subunit ribosomal RNA", at positions 338 to 795 of the family's 1533-position model. The record is from RNAcentral.